GACGAACGCUGGCGGCGCGCCUAACACAUGCAAGUCGAACGGAGCUGAGAGAAGCUUGCUUUUCUUAGCUUAGUGGCGAACGGGUGAGUAACGCGUGAGUAACCUGCCCUGGAGUGGGGGACAACAGUUGGAAACGACUGCUAAUACCGCAUAAGCCCACGAUCCGGCAUCGGAUUGAGGGAAAAGGAUUUAUUCGCUUCAGGAUGGACUCGCGUCCAAUUAGCUAGUUGGUGAGGUAACGGCCCACCAAGGCGACGAUUGGUAGCCGGACUGAGAGGUUGAACGGCCACAUUGGGACUGAGACACGGCCCAGACUCCUGCGGGAGGCAGCAGUGGGGGAUAUUGCACAAUGGGGGAAACCCUGAUGCAGCGACGCCGCGUGGAGGAAGAAGGUUUUCGGAUUGUAAACUCCUGUCGUUAGGGACGAUAAUGACGGUACCUAACAAGAAAGCACCGGCUAACUACGUG
This 468-nucleotide ribosomal RNA is filed under the name uncultured bacterium. RNAcentral's name for it is "partial 16S ribosomal RNA". It matches the Rfam family "Bacterial small subunit ribosomal RNA", at positions 28 to 507 of the family's 1533-position model. The record is from RNAcentral.